Acipenser ruthenus (sterlet) is the source of this 825-nucleotide long non-coding RNA. RefSeq lists it as uncharacterized. The transcript is spliced from 4 exons. The record is from RefSeq and is a predicted model, not a curated record. NCBI's taxonomy places the organism in Eukaryota, Metazoa, Chordata, Actinopteri, Acipenseriformes, Acipenseridae.
UAAAGCCAGUCAGACUGAAACAGCUGUCUGUGAUACAUUAAAGGCACGUCUACUGAUAUCUCAUCAGUAUCGCAUUCAAUCUUUAUGCGCAGGGCCGCCAAGAGAUCUCUGCCACACAGGUUCACUGGACAUAAUUGGGAGCAAAUAAAAGAGUGCGUCACGGAUGCGCCGCCACACUUCACUUUGACUGGUUCGGCUUCUUAUGUUAGAAGUGAAGUCCUGUUUCGGACCCCUUGAAGCUCACCCAAGGCAGCUGUUUUUCAUUUCCGAUCAGGGAGCUUUACAGGAAAGGAAGUACUGUACUGUAGGGAAGGCCCGGUCUCUGGCACACGGAGGAGCAGGGAUUAGUGCACAACACCAUCCUCUAUAAGAUAUGGGUUCCUGCCAUUGUAACUUCCUUUGGAUGAUGAAUUUUUGUCCCAACAAAAAGCCUCCGAUGACAAGCAGCAAUCCCACCAGUGCUGCAAUGAGAAUCCAGUGAUACCUCGGCUUCUCUUGUUCCUUCGGAGCUGGUUCAUCAGCUGUCACUCGAGCUGUGGGAAAAACAAGUUUGGAAUUCGAUUCAUUAGAUUUCUACUUAACUCACAGCUCAGGAGAAUUGAAGGUCAGUGGCCAUCCCCUAAUCCAAGCCAGUCACCCCAGCAGAUGUCAGAGAGCCCCUUGCCUCUGGAGGACAGGCCAGCCUAACAGGCAGGUCUGCUGUAGCAGUCUCUCCCUACCCCCAGGGAGCACCAGCCAGGACACAAAACCACACACCUAUUUCAAUAAAGAUGAUAUGCAUGGGUCCACUUGAAGUUCAUAUUUGCAUCUCUAUUUACCUGUCAC